AUUGAACGCUGGCGGCAUGCUUUACACAUGCAAGUCGAACGGCAGCGCGGGCUUCGGCCUGGCGGCGAGUGGCGAACGGGUGAGUAAUACAUCGGAACGUGCCCAGUAGUGGGGGAUAGCUCGGCGAAAGCCGGAUUAAUACCGCAUACGACCUGAGGGUGAAAGCGGGGGAUUUUCGGACCUCGCGCUAUUGGAGCGGCCGAUGGCAGAUUCGCUAGUUGGUGGGGUAAAGGCCUACCAAGGCGACGAUCUGUAGCUGGUCUGAGAGGACGACCAGCCACACUGGGACUGAGACACGGCCCAGACUCCUACGGGAGGCAGCAGUGGGGAAUUUUGGACAAUGGGCGAAAGCCUGAUCCAGCAAUGCCGCGUGUGUGAUGAAGGCCUUCGGGUUGUAAAGCACUUUUGGCGGGAACGAAAAGGACUGUGCCAAUACCACGGUUCGAUGACGGUACCCGCAGAAUAAGCACCGGCUAACUACGUG
This 484-nucleotide ribosomal RNA is filed under the name uncultured bacterium. Its description in RNAcentral is "partial 16S ribosomal RNA". It matches the Rfam family "Bacterial small subunit ribosomal RNA", at positions 29 to 507 of the family's 1533-position model. The record is from RNAcentral.